UAGGAUUUGGUUUGGAAUUUAGGGUUUAGAUUAGGAUUUGAUUUAGGAUUUCGGAUUUUUUUAGGGUUUGAUUUAGGAUUUAGGAUUUGGAUUAGGGUUGGAAUUAGGAUUUAAGAUUUGAAUUAGGAUUUGAUUAGAAUUUGAUUUAGGAUUUAGGAUUUAGUUUAGGGUUUAGGGUUUGAUUAGGAUUAGGAUUUGGUUAGGAUUUAGAGUUAGGAUUGAAUAAGAUUUGACUAGGAUUUUUUUAGGAUUUGGAAUUGAUUAGGAUUUAUUAGGGUUAGGAUUUGUCUAAGAUUUGACUAGGAUAUGUUUAGGAUUUAGGAUUUGUCUAGGAUUUGAUUAAGGUUGGAUUAGAAUUAGGAUUUGGUUAGAAUUUAAGGUUUAUUUAGAUUUUUGUUAGGGUUUGACUAAGUUUUCUUUAAUAUGAUUUUAUAUUUUUUUAGGAUUUCAUUUCAUUUCUUUUAUAACUUCAAUAAAAUUUAAUUGAGCUUGUUUAAUAUUUGAUUAUGAUUGUUAAUAUUUAAUUAUAA
This 530-nucleotide long non-coding RNA is filed under the name Physcomitrium patens. RNAcentral describes it as "long non-coding RNA (PPAT_LNC010012)". The record is from RNAcentral. Lineage: Eukaryota; Viridiplantae; Streptophyta; Bryopsida; Funariales; Funariaceae.